GAAAUGCGAUAAGUAAUGUGAAUUGCAGAAUUCAGUGAAUCAUCGAAUCUUUGAACGCACAUUGCGCCCGUUAGCAUUCUAGCGGGCAUGCCUGUCCGAGCGUCAUUUCAACCCUCAGGGCCCCCCGUUCCGGCGGGCGGACCUGGCGUUGGGGAUCGGCCCGCCCCGUGCGGCGCCGUCCCCCAAAUACAGUGGCGGUCCCGCCGCAGCCUCCCCUGCGUAGUAGUUUACAACCUCGCAUCGGAGCGCGGCGCGGCCACGCCGUAAAACACCCAUCAUCUCACAAGGUUGACCUCAGAUCAGGUGGGAAUACCCGCUGAACUUAAGC
Molecule: unclassified non-coding RNA, 328 nt
Filed under: plant metagenome
Description: partial contains 5.8S ribosomal RNA, internal transcribed spacer 2, and large subunit ribosomal RNA
Rfam family: 5.8S ribosomal RNA (bases 1-105)
Source: RNAcentral